UCCUCGGAGUUUUUACUUUUUUCUGUAACAAUCCGUUUCCGAUAGCAAGACAUUUUAGAAGGAAAAAAAAUACAAGUCACAGAUCCGUAGAAAAUUUAAUAUAAUAUGAGCGCGCGUUAAUGGGAAUAUCAGUUAUUUUUGAGUCCGGAAGAAUCAGUUUAUGCAUAGAGGUUUAUGCAUGUGUGAAGUACUUUGAAAUCUUGGUCUGUAAUGUUUGCUAAUAAUAAACUAAUAGAUGAUAAAUUGUAAAUGCGUUUACCAUUUUGAAUAAGAUAAAGAUGUAAGAAACAAUUGCUUU
This 298-nucleotide long non-coding RNA is filed under the name Mytilus galloprovincialis (Mediterranean mussel). Lineage: Eukaryota; Metazoa; Mollusca; Bivalvia; Mytilida; Mytilidae. The record is from RNAcentral.